Bombus huntii is the source of this 2972-nucleotide long non-coding RNA. RefSeq lists it as uncharacterized. Lineage: Eukaryota; Metazoa; Arthropoda; Insecta; Hymenoptera; Apidae. The record is from RefSeq and is a predicted model, not a curated record. The transcript is spliced from 2 exons.
AGUAGAAGCAUUUGCUUCGUGUGAAUGUCUAUGAAUUGAAACCAAUUUGAACGUUAUCAAUAUCGCUGAGACGCUGUCUGCAAUGGAGCGCAAAGGUUUAAACGCUGCGGAUAUUAACCUUACACUUCGUCAGCAAAUUAUCAGACACUGUUAUCAAUAUCGCCAUGGCGCUGCUAUAGCGGAGCUUAAAGGUUUACACGCUACGGAUAUUAACCUUCAACUUCACCAAACAUAUACGGCACAUCGAACCUUGAACUUCAUCAGCAAAUUACUCAACGACGGAACACGGCAUACUGAACCUUGAACUUCAUCAGCAGAAUACUCAGGAAACAGAUACGGCGUACUGGUGGCUAAAAUGGCGAAUUGAUGAAUUGAUCGAGGUUUUUUCACUCGAAGCUAUUUAUUUUUUAAACAGAAAUUAUUAUGUUCGAAAAAUAUAUUUAGGUUUAUAAAUUGGAACAAAAUUGAACAAUAAUUUGCACACUAUCAGUGUCUGCACACUAAGACACUGAUAGGUGGAGAGUAAAGGGUUGAAUGCUAGGGAUAUUAACCUUGAAUUUUAGCGGCAAAUUGCUCUACAAACACACAUAGCAUACUGAACCUUGAACUUCGUGAGAAAAUGAGUGGUCAAGCAGGUAUGGCGUAGUGGAGACUGAAACGGGAGAUUGAUGAAUUGAUUCAGUUUUUUAAAAUCAAAGGUAUUUAUUUCGGGACUUCGUCAUUUGUACUUUACAAUUUGUCCAGCUGGACAUUUGGUAAAUUUUUCUAACCUAAUUGCUAAAUAACAUUGUGGAUGGCUACCCCCAGCGGGAUACUAUCUUCCAGUUUGUCUAUUUUAAGCACUCAAAGUUUUCUCUUUUAUUGUUAUUAUUAUUAUUAUUUAAUUUGUACUUUACAAUUUGUCCAGCUGGACAUUUGGUAAAUUUUUCUAACCUAAUUGCUAAAUAACAUUGUGGAUGGCUACCCCCAGCUGGAUACUAUCUUCCAGUUUGUCUAUUUUAAGCACUCAAAGUUUUCUCUUUUAUUAUUAUUAUUAUUAUUUAAUUUGUACUUCACAAUUUGUCCAGCUGGACAUUUGGUAAAUUUUUCUAAUCUAAUUGCUAAAUAACAUUGCGGAUGGCUACUCCCAGCGGGAUACUAUCUCCGAGUAGUCAAAGUGAACGCUCGAACUUGGUCAGAGAGUUACUCGACAAACGGGAACAACGUGUUGAGCCUCCAACUUCAUCGGCAAAUUACUCUCGGCAAACGUGUACGGUAUACGAGACUGAAACGGAUGGCUGACGAAUUGAUUAAGUUUUUCUACAAUCGAAGGUAUUUAUUCUGCGACUUCAUCGGCAAAUUACUCGACAAACAGAUACGGUGUACGGGACUGAAACGAGCGACCGAUGCCACGAAUAAGGAGAAAGAAAGAGGCACAGGUAGAAAAAGAGGACGUGGACAACUAGAACACGACUGAGAGAAGGGCACAAUGUUAAGGUGAAUAGGAGCGAGAGAACAAGGGGGAAGGAUAUCCGACUUACUAAUUGCGACGACGUCGGUGGUCCGUAGACGCACCGCGGGCCAUGACGAAAAGCGAUAUGGCCAGAGCAGAGACCGACCAAGGCCACGCCGUGAUACAUCUCCGUGGUUAACCCGAAUCGAAAUCAUAAAUCCAGCCAGGACCGGACGAUUCGCAGCGUUUCCCUCAAGGUAGUCUGCGUACGAAGUCGCGCUUGUUUGCCGUGGCCCAAGUUAACACUUUAACUGCCACGUUGGUCAUAUAUGACCCGCCAGGGUUUCUCCUAUGACGCCACGGUUGUCAUUGGUAACCGGAGCGUUUGAACUUCUUCCAAUUGUAAAAAUUGCAUGAAAAUCGACAGUUAGGGAAUUUUGAAUAUAACCGAUAAAUAGAAGAUACCUUGAAAUAAAAAGUGCCCCAUUGAACAAUUAAACAUUUCUAUUAGAACAUCAAUAAGAAGAAAAUGAGAACAAAUCUUGCAUCUAACGGUGCACUGUGUUAAAACACUUUAAACAUAAAUGUGGCUCAUCAAUACAAUCUGGACAAUAGGUGAUCACCUGAUAUUAGUUGUCGUUCUUAUCACUUGUUAACGUUUAUCCUAUAACUUAACUUAACUUAACUUGUAUCCUAUAAUGUGUUAUUGUGUUACUUAUCAGGCUUGUAUCCAUUACCACCUAAUGACAAAAUCUGUAAUCACUUAGUUGCCAACCCAAUAGAUAUAGAAAAAGAAAGAAGAAAAUUAGGUGGUUAAUUCUGUUAUUAAUUGUUAAGGUUGACUGAUAGAAGAACAAGUGGAUGAAUUUCCAAUAGAAAAAUAUAUUGAAAUAAAUAAAGGUAUAAGUAGAAUGUAUCAGUUUAUGCUGAUGCAAAUCCUUACUCUCUUAGUGUUACAAUACAAUAGAAAAAUAGGGAGCACGUUCAUAUAUUUAUAGUAAAAGAACAUUAUCAAAAAAGUUAACCUUAUAGCUCUAACUAAAGGUUACAAGGAACAUAGAUAGAAAUCUACUUAUUACUUCCUUUGUUCCAAAUCCUUGUAACCCAAAACAUAAUUUAUAUUCAAGGGCACAAUAAUAUGCACCUCUCCUUAUUUAGAAUAUUUUUUUUCUCUAAAUUCUAUUUUCUGGGUGAUAGCUGUCUUUUAAGGUCACGAAUAUAUAUAAAUAAAGAUUUAUAGUUUUUCUUGAAGUAAUUACUUCAACAUUAGUAAUUCUGAGUUCUGUCAGAAUUCUGAACAUCUACAAAGUUGCAAUUAGGUUAAGAAAAUGGCGUCAGCUGUUGCAAAGGAUCGGUGAAAAAUGAGAAAUAAAGUAGAAGCAUUGGAGACAUCGAUUAAAAUUCACAGAAUACAAACCGCACCGAAUUGCGAUUUUUUAAAACACAAACAAAUAAAUAGUUAAUACUUGGAAUAAUAAUUAAUUACAUUUAUAGCUACUUAUAACCUAUAAUAAUAAUAUCCAACAUAUUUAUCUAUUUU